AUGGGGUGCAGCAGGCGCGAAACCUCCGCAAUGCGGGAAACCGCGACGGGGGGACCCCCAGUGCCGUGCCUCUGGCACGGCUUUUCCGGAGUGUAAAAAGCUCCGGGAAUAAGGGCUGGGCAAGGCCGGUGGCAGCCGCCGCGGUAAUACCGGCGGCCCGAGUGGUGGCCACUAUUAUUGGGCCUAAAGCGGCCGUAGCCGGGCCCGUAAGUCCCUGGCGAAAUCCCACGGCUCAACCGUGGGGCUCGCUGGGGAUACUGCGGGCCUUGGGACCGGGAGAGGCCGGGGGUACCCCCGGGGUAGGGGUGAAAUCCUAUAAUCCCGGGGGGACCGCCAGUGGCGAAGGCGCCCGGCUGGAACGGGUCCGACGGUGAGGGCCGAAGGCCAGGGGAGCGAACCGGAUUAGAUACCCGGGUAGUCCUGGCUGUAAAGGAUGCGGGCUAGGUGUCGGGCGAGCUUCGAGCUCGCCCGGUGCCGUAGGGAAGCCGUUAAGCCCGCCGCCUGGGGAGUACGGCCGCAAGGCUGAAACUUAAAGGAAUUGGCGGGGGAGCAC
Molecule: ribosomal RNA, 553 nt
Filed under: uncultured euryarchaeote
Lineage: Archaea; Methanobacteriati; Methanobacteriota
Description: bacterial SSU rRNA
Rfam family: Archaeal small subunit ribosomal RNA
Source: RNAcentral